UAGCACCUUAUUCCGUCAUAUUGUCUCUGGAUUUAAUGUAUUCCUAAUGUCACUUUUAUAAACAAAUAGAAGUUAAAACUUUACAAUAUUUUUGUAAAUUUGCAAUUGGAAGCUGCAAAAGGGACAUUAGAAUGUCAGCAAGGUUGGAACAAUUUUCGAUUUAAGUGGAAUUUACGGAAGGAUUUGACGGUUGACCUCACAACUAAUCUGCAAAAUGAAGAAGCAACAUAUUUUGUUACCGCUUAGAAGAAACAAUA
Long non-coding RNA from Pieris napi, 257 nucleotides. RefSeq lists it as uncharacterized. The transcript has 2 exons. Lineage: Eukaryota; Metazoa; Arthropoda; Insecta; Lepidoptera; Pieridae. The record is from RefSeq and is a predicted model, not a curated record.